This is a long non-coding RNA of Apteryx owenii (little spotted kiwi), 1817 nucleotides long. Lineage: Eukaryota; Metazoa; Chordata; Aves; Apterygiformes; Apterygidae. The record is from Ensembl.
CUUAGGCAAUUAAUGGAGGAAUCUAGCCUAGGAGCUACCUUAGUGCGACGGCUCCCUGGAUUGAAGUGCCUCGGUCAGGGGGCGAGUCAGAUCCCAGGGAAAAGGCUUGUGCUUGGCACGGCGCUGACGGAUGAGGCCGGAGGCGGGCUUGGGAGGUCGGCCCUGGCUUGUCCGGGUGUUAAACGUGAGGCGUGGGAGCACCCAGCACCCCGCGCAGAUGGGAGGCCUGGCCAUCUUACCGCCGCUGUUCUGCUUUCCGAGUUACUCCACGCACUGGAUCAGGAAGGCCUCUCUCUGCUUAAGCUGGUCCUGUACCCCUGCCUCUAUAUUUGUACAGCACCAAGCGCUUGAUAAUAGGGCCGUGAAUAACAGCUAAAUCUAUCCCUGCUAAAUCUAUCCCUGCCUGCAGGCUGAACAUGUACGGAGUUGUGCGCAGCUCCAUCCUCUCCAUAAAUUAGGGGUGCAAGAAGCCUUGGGCUAGUCAUUGCUGAGGUUUGGGUCAUUGAUUGGCUUCAGGGAGGGUCAGUCCAACAAAAAUACCCUGAAGUUUCCAAAGGGCAAUUCAUCAGUUUGAAGAUCCUGGGAGGUGAGCUAGCAGGGAAGGAGGAAGCAGAUAAACUGUCGCUGUCAUGUUCCCCUGAAACUUUUCGUGGCGUGAGUUUGCUCUUUCCCACGCCAGCUGUGGAGGUGCUGAGCGUGGUGUGGCAGGACUCAUGGAAGGAUAUUCGGGUAGAAGAAGCUGUUUCUUCUGCCGCUAGGACUGAGGAAGAGGGACAUGGAUCAAUUUGGGAUUUGUCAGUCGCUUGCCACAGGGGUGACUGUCAUGCGGGGACAUUUGGAGGCUUCAGGAAGCCGUCGUGGAGGGUUAGGAUGGGACGUGCCUACGGAGGCCGAAAGUGCCUGGCUUGUUCCCAGCCAUCAGCCCUUCAUGCUCUGGGCUUGCAAACAGGCGGCGCCGGCUGCUCCUGCUGCCAGGCGAGAACAUCAAGCCCUAGCGCGAGCAGGCUGCGUCCCCUACCGAAUGCUGCAACGUGUACGACGGGGCCUGCUGAGGGGCUGGAGAUCAGCAAACCCUUCUGCAAAAUAGCUGCACUAGCAGAAAGGGUCCCUCACUUCAUGCCCACUUUGAUCCCCGCAGUUGCAGCCCCUCUGAUCCCUGCGCCAUCCAGCUGGGCUGUUUCAGUCACCUCCCCCAGGACGCUGUUUUCUGCCAGAUUCCUCCUUGGGUCUACAAGAACCUCUUUCCUCACCUCCAGCUUGGCCCAGCGUCCUGUAAUUGAGAGCCAGCGUGAUCAAGCUAGAUUUGUGGAUCGAGGACGCACGCGUGAACGAAACGGCGCUCACCGCCUGGCUGCGUUCGUUAUCUCUGCGGCCGCCAGCGAGGGCUGGCGUUAUCGCUGAAAUCCUGUCCCUCCCCGAUAAAGGCUCUCGGCAGAGAAAACGUGGCUGCAGAGAUGCAGGCAAAGCCCUCCAUCUUCGAGCCUGCGUGGAAAACCCGCUGUUGGAGGGAGGAAGAGCAGAUUCAUGCCCCCAGAAAGAGCUCCUGAACGUGGCUGRAGCCUACAGGAGGUAGCGCUGGUUUCGCCACGCAGGAUUUCCAAAGGGGGCUGGGGAGAGGCGCCUGGGUCCUCCACGGCUGCCGGGAACUUGCUGGGGGCUCUCGUUUACUUCUUGCUGCCUUGCCCAUGCUUCUGUUUCUAGCUGUGUCCAUCUUAGCUGUCGAAUGACUAAGGAUUUCAGCGCAUCGAUCCGCUCUGUUGUGGAGACUCGCAAAAUACCAGUCAGCAAUAAAGGUGCAUAAAAGCAAUAAAUUCCCA